This 180-nucleotide ribosomal RNA is filed under the name uncultured Glomeromycotina. Its description in RNAcentral is "partial small subunit ribosomal RNA". The stretch from base 81 to 180 matches the Rfam family "Eukaryotic small subunit ribosomal RNA", at positions 738 to 840 of the family's 1831-position model. Lineage: Eukaryota; Fungi; Glomeromycota. The record is from RNAcentral.
GGCGGUCCGCUUAACGGCGUGUACUGUCUGGCUGGGCCUUACUUCUUGGUGAGCCGGCGUGUCCUUUAUUGGAUGCGUCGGUGAACCAGGACUUUUACCUUGAGAAAAUUAGAGUGUUCAAAGCAGGCUUACGUCUGAAUACAUUAGCAUGGAAUAAUAAAAUAGGACGGUGGUCCUGUU